AGCGAACGCUGGCGGCAUGCCUAACACAUGCAAGUCGAACGAGACCUUCGGGUCAAGUGGCGCACGGGUGCGUAACGCGUGGGAAGCUGCCCUUAGGCUCGGAAUAACACCCCGAAGGGGGUGCUAAUACAGGAUAAUGUAUGCGAACCACACAUAUAUCGCGCUUGGGUGGGCCGGCGUUGACUUAACUAGUUGGUAGGGUAAAAGCCUACCACGGAGACGAUCCAUAGCUGGGAUGAGAGGCUGAUCAGCCACACUGGGACUGAGACACGGCCGAGACUACUACAGGAGGCAGCAGUGGGGAAUCUUGGACAAUGGGCUAGGGCCUGAUCCAGUAAUGCCGUGUGAGGGAUGAAGUUCUGAGAGUAGUAAAGCACUUUUACCCGGGGUGAUACUGACGGUACCGGAAGAAUAAGCACCGGCUAACUCCGUG
Molecule: ribosomal RNA, 433 nt
Filed under: uncultured bacterium
Lineage: Bacteria
Description: partial 16S ribosomal RNA
Rfam family: Bacterial small subunit ribosomal RNA
Source: RNAcentral